GCGUCCCCAAAGGUAAUUUUCUUCAGACCUCUCUAGCUCAGGAAGGAGAUAGAGGCAAGGAUGAGGAAGGCAUGAGCAACACAGGACUGUGGAAAUAAAUGAAGGCCAGCCAGAAGAGAACCAGUAAAGGCUAUUUAUGCAGAGCUGAGUGUAGCGAGGGAGUCGGCCAUCAUCUCUUGCGUUUUGGCGGAGGCUCAGAGGCAAGCAGAGGAGAGGUGAAGCUGUACAGUGGAAGGGGAGAGGCCCCCAGUGUGCCCUGACUGGAGACUGUCGGCAUGGGGAAGUUGGAGGUGGGCUCAAGAACGAGGAGCAUCUGUGAUCGGUUAAGGGCAUAUGCUCGGCUUUCUCUAGUAGUUCCUAAGUUAGUAGUGGGGGGGUGUUGGAAAUUAGGGACGUUAUCCAUUUUUACUCAAGUCCUGGCCAUUUGGGGCUGAUUGUUACCAAGGUUGUUGGUUGGCAUUUUGGAUUCUUGCCAGUGGUGGUGGCCUGACUUCCUGCAGGCAUGAGAUAGCAGGCUGGCUUCCUGGGCUGGUUACUGUAGAUAGCACUUGGCUUCCCGGCCAGGUUGCACUCAGAGUUCUGUAUCUGCAUAUUCUCUGGCCACUGCUUGUUUGUACAUUUAGUGUCUCAGUACCAACAUAGCGCUGGCCGAGAAUAAACAACAGACUCAGCACCUGUCAGCCUGGGAGCUACUCAGGCUGUGUUGCUCCCCAUCAGGUGGCGGGCAUUGAGAGUGCUCCGGUGGUCGCUGGCAGGGCCCACCCUACCACCGUCUGUUUUCAGCUGCACACUUGGUCAUGAGGCGCACAGGCACUCAUUUGCGUGCAGAGAGCUCCUGAUGCCUUCCUCCAACUUGGCCUUCACAUUAGUGAACUACUGGUCUGAGGGGCGUACUGUUUUAUUGGGCAGGGAAGCCCAUCCUGGGUUUUAGUCCCAUUUUUGGUAGUGACUGGCUGUCUUCAUCGCCCAAGGUCUUCCUGACAGUGGAAGGUUCUCAUCCGUCUCAUGUCGCCCCUGCUCCCUGCCUUGACGUGGCAGAGGGUUUCCUGGCCAGGAAUGGAAGAUUUCCCAAUUGCUCUGAAAUUUCUGUGGUAAUGUCCUUCUUCAGUCAUUUUCUUGACACCCACCGGAAGUUUGAUGUCACAGCCUCCCUGCCCUGGGCACUGUGUCUGGUGUGAGGCGGUGUUUGUGGCAGCCUGGUGCCCAUCACUGUGGUCCUGGCAGCUCCCUAGGGGUUCUUCUGAAGGUGGUCCCCACCCCCGCUGCGCCCUAGUUUAUUAUUUAUGUGUCUAUUGUGCGUUUAACAUCAUUGAUAGAGGAGACACUGGAAUCUUUUAUUUUUCUAGAAUUCAAGAAAAAAGUUUUCAGAGUUUAAACAUUAAGUUUUACACAAAACGUGUCUAAAGUAUCUAAGUUUAUAAAUAAACUCUAAAAAUAUUAUGUAGGUUUUGAAAGACAUCUGCAAGUUUUGAAGAGGGGAUGGUUUUAAACAGGCAUUUCUUCUCUUGCCUUUGUGUGUGUUUGCACUUUUAAAUUAAAUGACAUCCUCUGAGUGUAGGAGUUAAGUCAAAGCUGUCAAGAUUUUUUUUUUCCAUCCUAAUAACAACCCUUGUGCCAUUGACUACCAAGAAUAACAAUGAGCCUUUUUUUAAGCUAAAAAAGAGUAUUUAUUUUCGUCACUGAAAGAACAAUUAUUCGUGUCCUUACGGUUUUUAAGGUAUUUUUAUGAAUUCUAAGAAUAAGCCAGUUUGAAGUUCAACUACACAAAAUAAAAAUGCCUCAUUACUGAGCUUUCCACCUGAAGUAUUUGGGUUGGUGGGUCUUGGCCUUUCAAUGAUAACAGAUAAUAUUUAGUGAUGACUUUUGUGUGUCUUAUGCUGUUGGAAAUGCAGUAACUAUAUUAACCCAUUUACUUGUCACAUUAUCCUCACUUUAUAGCUUGCACACUGAGGCCUAAAAAGUUUUAACCCCUUGCUCAAGGCCGCACAGCCAUGAUUUGGACCUGGAUCAUCAGAUAGCCACCUUUGGCCUAUAUUGACUCUAGAAGGUUCCACUUGCAUACUGGUUGAGGCAUUCAGUUUCUCUCUUAUUUCCUCCUAAAACACAUGCUUGGAAAGAAUGAGAAACAUUUACUAUAUGUUUUUAUCUCAGAACCCUUCAGGCUUCUGGAGUAUAACAUACAAUGAUGAUCAUAAGGCUCUUCCCCAGACCGUGGCCUAAGCUGUUGCGGAUAAGGCCAGCCACUGCUGCUGAUCUGCUCUGCAUAGUGCUAACUCGAGAAAAGACAAGAGGAAAAAUAGGAGGAGGACGGUGGUAAAAGUAAUUUAUGAUUAUCUUCUGAUCUUGUUUUUUUUUUUUUAAUCUUUUGGUUAAAUCUGUUUUUAGCGGACUUACUUUUUUUUUUAUUGCAGUAAAAUAUUUAACACCGCUGAGCUGUCCACUUAAAGAUGGUUAAAAUGGUCAGGUUUAUGUUAUGUGAAUUUUACCGAUCAAUCGAUAGGAAGAAAAAAAUUUUUAUUUUUAUUUAUUUAUUUAUUUUUAAGAUUUUAUUUAUUUAUUCAUAGAG
RNAcentral lists this long non-coding RNA (2566 nucleotides) under Canis lupus familiaris (dog). RNAcentral's name for it is "lncRNA (ENSCAFG00000055622.1)". The record is from RNAcentral. Lineage: Eukaryota; Metazoa; Chordata; Mammalia; Carnivora; Canidae.